This 2032-nucleotide ribosomal RNA is filed under the name Stentor polymorphus. RNAcentral's name for it is "bacterial LSU rRNA". It matches the Rfam family "Bacterial large subunit ribosomal RNA", at positions 144 to 2089 of the family's 2925-position model. The record is from RNAcentral. Lineage: Eukaryota; Ciliophora; Heterotrichea; Heterotrichida; Stentoridae.
UCUUGUACUUCCUACUGAAUUCAUAGGUAGGAAAGAGACAACUCAGUGAACUGAAACAUCUUAGUAGCUGAAGGAAAAGAAAGCAAACGCGAUUCCCUGAGUAGUGGCGAGCGAAAUGGGAACAGCCUAAACCAAGUUUCCAACUUGGGGUCGUGGGAAAACAACUAAUACCAAAAUCGAAAGAUAGUCCCAAAAAGAAAGGAAACCUUCUUGGUCCCAAAACGAAAGUUUUGGGAAAGGGACCGGUAUCAAUUCAAGAAAAUUUUAGACGAAGCAGCUGAAACCUGCACCAGAGAUGGUAAAAGUCCAGUAGUCAAAAAAAUCAACUGAAUUUCUGUUUAUCCCGAGUAACAUGGGACACGUGAAAUCCCGUGUGAAUCAGCGAGGACCACCUCGUAAGGCUAAAUACUCCUAGGUGACCGAUAGCGAAAUAGUACCGUGAGGGAAAGGUGAAAAGAACCCCUGUAGGGGAGUGAAAUAGAACAUGAAACCCUACGCUGACAAUCAGUGGGAGGCGCUUAAGCGCUGACCGCGUGCCUGUUGAAGAAUGAGCCGGCGACUUAGAAAAAGUGGCAAGGUUAAGGAAGUGUAUCCGGAGCCGAAGCGAAAGCAAGUCUGAAUAGGGCGAUUAUCAAAGUCAUUUUUUCUAGACCCGAACCCGGGUGAUCUAACCAUGACCAGGAUGAAGCUUGGGUAACACCACGUGAAGGUCCGAACCGACCGAUGUUGAAAAAUCGGCGGAUGAGUUGUGGUUAGCGGUGAAAUACCAGUCGAACUCGGAGCUAGCUGGUUCUCCCCGAAAUGCGUUGAGGCGCAGCGGUUCAGGAGGCUUUCUAGGGGUAAAGCACUGUUUCGGUGCGGGCUGCGAAAGCGGUACCAAAUCGUGGCAAACUCUGAAUACUAGAAAUGCUAUUUCUGAGCCAGUGAGACAGUGGGGGAUAAGCUUCAUUGUCAAGAGGGAAACAGCCCAGAUCACUAGCUAAGGCCCCAAAAUGAUCGUUAAGUGGCAAAGGAGGUGAGAAUGCAGAAACAACCAGGAGGUUUGCUUAGAAGCAGCCACCCUUUAAAGAGUGCGUAAUAGCUCACUGGUGGAGCGUUCUUGCGCCGAAAAUGUCCGGGACUAAAUGAUCUGCCGAAGCUGUGGGAUAUUUUGAGAAAAAAUAUCGGUAGGGGAGCGUUCUGCUGUAGGGUGAAGCAGUGAUGUAAGUCACUGUGGACGAAGCGGAAGUGAGAAUGUCGGCUUGAGUAACGCAAACAUUGGUGAGAAUCCAAUGCCCCGAAAACCUAAGGAUUCCUCCACUAGGUUCGUCCAUGGAGGGUGAGUCAGGACCUAAGGCGAGGCCGAAAGGCGUAGUCGAUGGCAAACAGGUUAAUAUUCCUGUACUAGUUCUUAUUUGGUACCGAGGGACGGAGCAAGCAGAGAUUGGCCGAGAUUGGAUUUCGGUGGAAACUAUCAACACGUUGAGAGGUAGAAGAAAAACUAACCUUGAGUGGAGAAGUGAUACGUUUUCAUCUUUUAGGUGAAAAUCAAUUGCCUGUUAUACUUCCAAGAAAAGCUCGUACUACUGUACAAUAAGAACUACCUGUACCGUAAACCGACACAGGUGGGUUGGUAGAGUAUACCAAGGGGCGCGAGAUAACUCUCUCUAAGGAACUCGGCAAAAUGACCCCGUAACUUCGGGAGAAGGGGUGCCAAGUAACUCAACAUUGCUUGGUCGCAGUGACCAGGCCCAGGCGACUGUUUAUCAAAAACACAGGUCUCCGCAAAGUCGUAAGACAACAUAUGGGGGCUGACGCCUGCCCAGUGCCGGAAGGUUAAGGAAGUUGGUUAUUCAUUCGUGGAGAAGCUGACGACCGAAGCCCCGGUGAACGGCGGCCGUAACAAUAACGGUCCUAAGGUAGCGAAAUUCCUUGUCGGGUAAGUUCCGACCCGCACGAAAGGCGUAACGAUCUGGGCGCUGUCUCGGAGAGAGACUCGGGGAAAUAGACAUGUCUGUGAAGAUGCGGACUAUCUGCACUUGGACAGAAAGAC